CCUAAAUCUAUCCAACAUAUUCUCUCGAUAUAUAUUAGACCUACUCUUGCACACCACCAGCCUAUAUCUCUAUGGAUGAUGCAAAUAUACAAGAAUGCAUGUGGUUUUGUGAACAAUUAGAUAAUUGAGAUGGGAGGAAAACCCACCUGCCUUAUUUCUUGUUGGACCGGUCCAAUGCCCUUGACCCAACAUGUUUUUCUCAUCUAUCCUUUGGGCCAUUAAUGAAGUGUCCCUCUAAUAUUCCAUCUAGAAUCUUUGGUAGCGGCGCAGCCAAGGUUUCAAACCAUUGUAGAUAUUCCCUCACCGAACCUUCUUGUCGGAGAGCUAAGAACCUCUCCUCGCUAGUCCCACCAUGGGUUGCUCGAAAACGAUUCAGCACUAGACCUCUCAAUUCUUCCCAGUUCGUCACCUUCUUACGUCUCUGUUGCCAUUGAUACCAUGAGAGAGCUUCUCCUUCAAAGCAAAUAGCGGCGGCCUCCAUCUUUUCUGCUUCAGAAAUCCGAGUGAGGUUAAAAUAUCAUUCAACCUUGAACACCAACCCUUCUGGAUUCUCCCCUUCAAAUACCGGAAUCUCCAAUCUCCUAUUCCUACAAUCCAGUCGCCACAGUCCUCCAGUUUGCUCUACAUCCCCGGGUGUUAUUGUUGAGUUUCCAAUGAAUUCUGAAUCAGGGACCUCCUCUGGGCCUUUUGCUUUCCAUUCCCUUUCUCGAUCAUCCCAGCGAUGCAUCACAAGUUUAAACUGCUCCAUCAUCAGACUCAUGUUCUUCUCUAUACUAUGGAUCCAUUGCAUUUCAGACUUCAUUACUUCCAUCCCAGCCUGAAUAGUUUCCAUUCUUCCCUCCAAUUCGCCUACACGAUCAGUGAGCGUCAUUCCAGGAACUUGCUCUGAUACCAAAAUGAUGGAACCUUGUUGCCAAAGAAGACUAACGAGCAGAAAUCAAGGAAAUUAAGCAGCUAAAAUAAGUAAUUCACAUAAAUCAGCUAGGCCAACUCAAUAUGAUUUACUGUAUUGAAAUAAAUUCUGAAUUAACAUCAACAGCAGAUGACUCUCCAAUACAAUUAGAACUAACUAAAAUGAAAUGAUAAUAAAGAAACGGAUAGAUGGACUUUCGAGAGGUCCAGACUCUCUCCAAAUUUUCCC
Molecule: long non-coding RNA, 1141 nt
Filed under: Olea europaea subsp. europaea
Lineage: Eukaryota; Viridiplantae; Streptophyta; Magnoliopsida; Lamiales; Oleaceae
Source: RNAcentral